RNAcentral lists this unclassified non-coding RNA (391 nucleotides) under soil metagenome. RNAcentral describes it as "partial contains 5.8S ribosomal RNA, internal transcribed spacer 2, and large subunit ribosomal RNA". The stretch from base 1 to 122 matches the Rfam family "5.8S ribosomal RNA", at positions 35 to 154 of the family's 154-position model. The record is from RNAcentral.
GAUGAAGAACGCAGCGAAAUGCGAUACUUGGUGUGAAUUGCAGAAUCCCGUGAACCAUCGAGUAUUUGAACGCAAGUUGCGCCCGAAGCCAUUAGGCCGAGGGCACGCCUGCCUGGGCGUCACACGUCGUUGCCCCCCCAUCUACUCCUUCGGGAUUGCGGGGGGCGGAUGAUGGCCUCCCGUGCGCCUUGCCGCGCGGUUGGCAUAAAUGCCAAGUCCUCGGCGACGCACGCCACGACAAUCGGUGGUUGCGAAACCUCGGUUGCCCGUCGUGUGCGGUCGUCGCGCAUCGAGGGCUCGAAAAAAUUGCCGGGUUCCGGCUCGGCUUUCAACGCGACCCCAGGUCAGGCGGGGUUACCCGCUGAAUUUAAGCAUAUCAAUAAGCGGAGGA